AACGAACGCUGGCGGCAGGCUUAACACAUGCAAGUCGAGCGCCCCGCAAGGGGAGCGGCAGACGGGUGAGUAACGCGUGGGAAUCUACCCAUCACUACGGAACAACUCCGGGAAACUGGAGCUAAUACCGUAUACGUCCUUCGGGAGAAAGAUUUAUCGGUGAUGGAUGAGCCCGCGUUGGAUUAGCUUGUUGGUGGGGUAAUGGCCCACCAAGGCGACGAUCCAUAGCAGGUCUGAGAGGAUGAUCAGCCACACUGGGACUGAGACACGGCCCAGACUCCUACGGGAGGCAGCAGUGGGGAAUAUUGGACAAUGGGCGCAAGCCUGAUCCAGCCAUGCCGCGUGAGUGAUGAAGGCCCUAGGGUUGUAAAGCUCUUUCACCGGUGAAGAUAAUGACGGUAACCGGAGAAGAAGCCCCGGCUAACUUCGUGCCAGCAGCCGCGGUAA
This 447-nucleotide ribosomal RNA is filed under the name uncultured bacterium. RNAcentral describes it as "partial 16S ribosomal RNA". It matches the Rfam family "Bacterial small subunit ribosomal RNA", at positions 29 to 523 of the family's 1533-position model. The record is from RNAcentral.